GACGAACGCUGGCGGCGUGCUUAACACAUGCAAGUCGAACGGUGAAGCGCCUUCCUUUUUGGUGGGUGUGGAUGAGUGGCGAACGGGUGAGUAACACGUGAGUAACCUGCCCCCUUCUUCUGGAUAACCGCAUGAAAGUGUGGCUAAUACGGGAUAUUCUGGGUCUGUCGCAUGAUGGGUCUGGGAAAGAUAUUGUUUCGGUGGGGGAUGGGCUCGCGGCCUAUCAGCUUGUUGGUGGGGUGAUGGCCUACCAAGGCGGUGACGGGUAGCCGGCCUGAGAGGGUGGACGGUCACACGGGGACUGGGCCACGGCCCAGACUCCUACGGGAGGCAGCAGUGGGGAAUAUUGCACAAUGGGCGCAAGCCUGAUGCAGCGACGCCGCGUGAGGGAUGGAGGCCUUCGGGUUGUGAACCUCUUUCGCCAGUGAAGCAGGCCUGCCUCGUUUGUGGGUGGGUUGACGGUAGCUGGAUAAGAAGCGCCGGCUAACUACGUG
Molecule: ribosomal RNA, 494 nt
Filed under: uncultured bacterium
Lineage: Bacteria
Description: partial 16S ribosomal RNA
Rfam family: Bacterial small subunit ribosomal RNA
Source: RNAcentral